CAGGGGUUAGUUUAAUUAAAAUACUGGUUUUGGGGACCAGUGAAAGGUAUAUUACCUCUCCCUGA
RNAcentral lists this transfer RNA (65 nucleotides) under Pseudothericles compressifrons. Its description in RNAcentral is "tRNA-Pro". The record is from RNAcentral. Lineage: Eukaryota; Metazoa; Arthropoda; Insecta; Orthoptera; Thericleidae.